Lolium perenne is the source of this 389-nucleotide long non-coding RNA. RefSeq lists it as uncharacterized. NCBI's taxonomy places the organism in Eukaryota, Viridiplantae, Streptophyta, Magnoliopsida, Poales, Poaceae. The record is from RefSeq and is a predicted model, not a curated record.
CCCCGCGACAGCGCCGUAAUGACGGUGCUGAAGGUCAAUCGACUUCCUCGCACUACUUCCCUAAUAACUGCAGCGUUAAGCGAUGAGUAUUUGAGGAGGAGAGGAGGCGGAUGGUGCAAGAGAAGCAGGAGGCAGGGAUGAUUUCUGGGCUAGCAUCCUCGAUGGCGUACCAGUGAUGUUCAACAUCGAUCAGCGCCUGAGCGCCGGGUAGGAGGGUCAAGGCGAUGAUGCAAGGACGAAGAUGACAUGCUCUGCUCUUCGUCCAACAUACAUCAAGUUUCAUAGAGUAGAAAACAAAGGAUAUUGCAGUCUUUAAUUAUAUGCUCGAAACAUCUUGCAGCUAUUGUACCAAUUAUCAUUCGCCUUCUAACAUGAUUUAGUUUCUCUCA